UUCUGGCUCAGAACGAACGCUGGCGGCGCGUCUUAAGCAUGCAGUCGGACGGCAAGGGGAGCUUGCUCCCCCUAGAGUGGCGGACUGGUGAGUAACGCGUGGGUGACCUACCCUGGAGAUGGGGAUAGCCAUUAGAAAUAGUGGAUAAUACCGAAUACGCUCUUUUUGCUGUGGCGAGAAGAGGAAACAGGCUACGGCCUGGCUCGAGGAUGGGCCCGCGUCCCAUUAGCUAGUUGGUGAGGUAACGGCCCACCAAGGCGACGAUGGGUAUCCGGCCUGAGAGGGUGUACGGACACAUUGGGACUGAGAUACGGCCCAAACUCCUACGGGAGGCAGCAGUAGGGAAUCUUCCGCAAUGGACGAAAGUCUGACGGAGCAACGCCGCGUGAGUGAAAGAAGGUUUUCGGAUCGUAAAACUCUGUUGUCAGAGAAGAACAAGUUGGAGAGUAACUGCUCCAGCCUUGACGGUAUCUGACCAGAAAGCCACGGCUAACUACGUGCCAGCCGCCGC
This 511-nucleotide ribosomal RNA is filed under the name uncultured bacterium. RNAcentral describes it as "bacterial SSU rRNA". It matches the Rfam family "Bacterial small subunit ribosomal RNA", at positions 17 to 518 of the family's 1533-position model. The record is from RNAcentral.